GCGCGCUUAGCUCAGUGGUAGAGCACAUCCUUCACACGGAUGGGGUCGCAGGUUCGAACCCUGCAGCGCGCACCA
This 75-nucleotide transfer RNA is filed under the name Neoluteolibacter arcticus. RNAcentral describes it as "tRNA-Val". It matches the Rfam family "tRNA". From Rfam's summary of the family: Transfer RNA (tRNA) molecules are approximately 80 nucleotides in length. Their secondary structure includes four short double-helical elements and three loops (D, anti-codon, and T loops). The record is from RNAcentral. RNAcentral also lists the same sequence under 18 other names. Lineage: Bacteria; Pseudomonadati; Verrucomicrobiota; Verrucomicrobiia; Verrucomicrobiales; Verrucomicrobiaceae.